AACAAAGAAGUAAAAAUUACAUUUAGCUUCGACCUAAAAUUAGGAUUAAAUUUAUUCCCAUGUUU
This 65-nucleotide transfer RNA is filed under the name Yangisunda tiani. RNAcentral describes it as "tRNA-Arg". RNAcentral also lists the same sequence under 1 other name. The record is from RNAcentral. Lineage: Eukaryota; Metazoa; Arthropoda; Insecta; Hemiptera; Cicadellidae.